Molecule: ribosomal RNA, 926 nt
Filed under: uncultured Dechloromonas sp.
Lineage: Bacteria; Pseudomonadati; Pseudomonadota; Betaproteobacteria; Rhodocyclales; Azonexaceae
Description: bacterial SSU rRNA
Rfam family: Bacterial small subunit ribosomal RNA
Source: RNAcentral
AUGCAGUCGAACGGCAGCACGGACUUCGGUCUGGUGGCGAGUGGCGAACGGGUGAGUAAUGUAUCGGAACGUACCUUUCAGUGGGGGAUAACGUAGCGAAAGUUACGCUAAUACCGCAUAUUCUGUGCGCAGGAAAGCAGGGGAUCGCAAGACCUUGCGCUGAUUGAGCGGCCGAUAUCAGAUUAGCUAGUUGGUGAGGUAAAGGCUCACCAAGGCGACGAUCUGUAGCGGGUCUGAGAGGAUGAUCCGCCACACUGGAACUGAGACACGGUCCAGACUCCUACGGGAGGCAGCAGUGGGGAAUUUUGGACAAUGGGGGCAACCCUGAUCCAGCCAUGCCGCGUGAGUGAAGAAGGCCUUCGGGUUGUAAAGCUCUUUCGGCCGGGAAGAAAUCGUAUGAGCUAAUACCUGGUGCGGAUGACGGUACCGGCAUAAGAAGCACCGGCUAACUACGUGCCAGCAGCCGCGGUAAUACGUAGGGUGCGAGCGUUAAUCGGAAUUACUGGGCGUAAAGCGUGCGCAGGCGGUUUUGCAAGACAGGCGUGAAAUCCCCGGGCUCAACCUGGGAAUGGCGUUUGUGACUGCAAGACUGGAGUGCGGCAGAGGGGGGUGGAAUUCCACGUGUAGCAGUGAAAUGCGUAGAGAUGUGGAGGAACACCGAUGGCGAAGGCAGCCCCCUGGGUCGACACUGACGCUCAUGCACGAAAGCGUGGGGAGCAAACAGGAUUAGAUACCCUGGUAGUCCACGCCCUAAACGAUGCGAACUAGUGUUGGGGAAGGAGACUUUCUUAGUACCGUAGCUAACGCGUGAAGUUCGCCGCCUGGGGAGUACGGUCGCAGAUUAAAACUCAAAGGAUUGACGGGGACCGCACAAGCGGUGGAUGAUGUGAUUAUUCGAUGCACGCGAAAAACCUUACCUACCCUUG